UAAUUAUGUCCUACUGAUUUCCUCUGUUUUGUAGGUCGUGCCCAAACGGAGGAGGAUAACCUGGAGGUACAACAGAGUCUGGCGGAGGGACCAGAAAUGGACAAGAGAGGAGCAGACCCAGCAGCAGAAUACACCACCCACCACCCAGGUGACCAGUGACGGACCCACCAAGGUGCCAACUGUCACUGAACCCAAACAGCCUGAGCCACCACAGUUCCUGAGGAACUACUGGAGGACCAACCGGGUGUGGAGACGGGACAUGGUGUGGACCCGAAAGGUAAACAGGGUACAAUUGUCCUCUGUCAUAUUGGUGACAAUCAGAAUCAGGCUAGCUAUACAGUCUUUUAAAGGUAGCAGUGUUGUACACAUAAUUCUCUGUAAUAUGCUGCCAUUUGUGAUGUAUUGCUGAUGGAACUAUCACUGUUAUGGAAGGAGUUUCCAAGCAGCAGGUUUGAGUCU
This is a long non-coding RNA of Saccostrea cuccullata (small rock oyster), 459 nucleotides long. RefSeq lists it as uncharacterized. The record is from RefSeq and is a predicted model, not a curated record. The transcript has 3 exons. NCBI's taxonomy places the organism in Eukaryota, Metazoa, Mollusca, Bivalvia, Ostreida, Ostreidae.